RNAcentral lists this ribosomal RNA (253 nucleotides) under uncultured bacterium. RNAcentral's name for it is "partial 16S ribosomal RNA". It matches the Rfam family "Bacterial small subunit ribosomal RNA", at positions 524 to 776 of the family's 1533-position model. The record is from RNAcentral.
GGCGAACCGUGCAAACGUUAUUCGGAAUCACUGGGCAUAAAGGGCGCGUAGGCGGCUCCAAAAGUCAGGGGUGAAAUCCGGCAGCUUAACUGUCGCAGUGCCUUUGAUACUGUGGAGCUAGAGGGAGGUAGGGGUCUGUGGAACUUCCGGUGGAGCGGUGAAAUGCGUUGAUAUCGGAAGGAACGCCGGUGGCGAAAGCGACGGACUGGAUCUCAUCUGACGCUGAGGCGCGAAAGCCAGGGGAGCAAACGGG